Molecule: long non-coding RNA, 797 nt
Filed under: Coffea arabica (coffee)
Lineage: Eukaryota; Viridiplantae; Streptophyta; Magnoliopsida; Gentianales; Rubiaceae
Description: long non-coding RNA (CARA_LNC003438)
Source: RNAcentral
CUUUAUCUCUGAAUGGGGUUAUGAGACUCGUGUUUUUUCUAAUGAUCAAUCGGCUGUUGCAAAUUGUGGAACUUAUUUUGGAGAUUUUCUACCUCGAUUUCAAACGUGGUAUGACCCUUAUUCAAAUAGGUAUGAUCAAGGAUGGUAGGAUAAUUUCAAUUUUAACUAUGCGAUCGGGCCAAUGGAUUUUCAACAGCAAGAGUCUCAACAACCAUCAUCCGUGUCAGGUAUGUCUUUUGAAGAAAUGAUUGAAUUACUAGCUGCUAAUACAUAUCGAACUCAGUAGGAGACACAAGCGAUGGCGGAUCAAGUGCAACUAUUGAUAUCCGGGAUGGCAGAUCAAAUACAUCUAUUGACAUCCAGGAUAACGCGAUUAGCUUCUCACCUUGAAGAAUUGCCCUCACAAACCAAUAUCAACCUUGAAGAAGAUGAGAGUGCAAUUAUCCGGCCAAAUGACAUGGAACUGCAAGAGUUUCAAGGAAACGGAUCUAAAGAUGCAGUUGAAAAGGAAGCUGAAGUGCAAGAAAUGAGACCCCAGUAUCAACUCGUCCAGGUGAAUGAAUCCAGUGAACAAUUUCCAAAUGCGAUGACAUCUCCUCCAGUCCUUAAUCAAUAUUCUCCUGAUUCUUAUUUUUUAAUUCCUGUUAAUGAAAUUGACUUUAUUAUACCAGAAAAUUUUGAAUUUCAUGACAGGAAUAAAUUAAGAGUAGCGAUGACAAGAUAUCUUGGACCAGUAAAUGCACGUGAGGGGGAAGUUAAUGGAGAAUGCAAAUUAUCGUUGACUUGUUUGGUGCCAU